Molecule: ribosomal RNA, 305 nt
Filed under: uncultured bacterium
Lineage: Bacteria
Description: bacterial SSU rRNA
Rfam family: Bacterial small subunit ribosomal RNA
Source: RNAcentral
UUCACCUACGGGGGGCAGCAGUGGGGAAUAUUGCACAAUGGGGGGAACCCUGAUGCAGCGACGCCGCGUGAGUGAAGAAGUAUUUCGGUAUGUAAAGCUCUAUCAGCAGGGAAGAAAAUGACGGUACCUGACUAAGAAGCCCCGGCUAACUACGUGCCAGCAGCCGCGGUAAUACGUAGGGGGCAAGCGUUAUCCGGAUUUACUGGGUGUAAAGGGGGCGCAGACGGCGAUGCAAGCCAGGAGUGAAAGCCCGGGUCCCAACCCCGGGACUGCUCUUGGAACUGCGUGGCUAGAGUGCAGGAGGG